GUGCCAGCAGCCGCGGUAAUACGUAGGGGGCAAGCGUUAUCCGGAUUCAUUGGGCGUAAAGCGCGCGUAGGCGGCCCGUUAAGUCAGAUGUGAAAACCGGAGGCUUAACCUCCGGCCUGCAUCUGAAACUGGCGGGCUUGAGUCUGGUAGAGGAAAGUGGAAUUCCCAGUGUAGCGGUGAAAUGCGCAGAUAUUGGGAGGAACACCAGUGGCGAAGGCGGCUUUCUGGGCCACGACUGACGCUGAGGCGCGAAAGCUAGGGGAGCGAACAGGAUUAGAUACCCCCGUAGUCC
RNAcentral lists this ribosomal RNA (292 nucleotides) under uncultured bacterium. RNAcentral describes it as "partial 16S ribosomal RNA". It matches the Rfam family "Bacterial small subunit ribosomal RNA", at positions 505 to 796 of the family's 1533-position model. The record is from RNAcentral.